CCUACGGGAGGCAGCAGUGAGGAAUAUUGGUCAAUGGGCGCGAGCCUGAACCAGCCAAGUCGCGUGAAGGAAGACGGCCCUACGAGUUGUAAACUUCUUUUAUAAAGGAAUAAAGUGAGACACGUGUGCCUUUCGUAUGUACUUUAUCAAUAAGGAUCGGCUAACUCCGUGCCAGCAGCCGCGGUAAUACGGAGGAUCCGAGCGUUAUCCGGAUUUAUUGGGUUUAAAGGGAGCGUAGAUGGGUGGUUAAGUCAGUUGUGAAAGUCUGCGGCUCAACCGUAAAAUUGCACUUGAUACUGGUAGGCUUGAGUACAGUUGAGGUAGGCGGAAUGCAUGGUGUAGCGGUGAAAUGCUUAGAGAUCACGAAGAACUCCGAUUGCGAAGGCAGCUUACUAAGCUGCCACUGACAUUGAUGCACGAAAGUGUGGGUAGCAAACAGGAUUAGAUACCCCUGUAGUC
This 459-nucleotide ribosomal RNA is filed under the name uncultured bacterium. RNAcentral describes it as "partial 16S ribosomal RNA". It matches the Rfam family "Bacterial small subunit ribosomal RNA", at positions 338 to 795 of the family's 1533-position model. The record is from RNAcentral.